RNAcentral lists this small nuclear RNA (97 nucleotides) under Aotus nancymaae (Ma's night monkey). The record is from RNAcentral. Lineage: Eukaryota; Metazoa; Chordata; Mammalia; Primates; Aotidae.
GUGCUUGCUUCAGCAAUACAUAUACUAAAAUUUGAAUGAUACAGAGAAGCUUAACAUGGCCCCUGCACAAGGAUGAUAUGAAGGAAAUAAAAAUUAA